GACCAGCUGCUUGCCGACAUUGCGGCCAGUGAAUAGCCCAAUGAGAGCUGCCGGUGCCGCCUCGAGCCCCUCAACGAUGUCCUCCACAUACACCACCUUUCCUUCCCUCAGGUAUCCUGCCAUCUCCUUCUCAUACCGGUGGUAUAUUGCAAUGUAGUUGCUCACCAGGAACCCCUCCAUCCGUAGGCUCUUGGCGAAUAAGUAGAAGAGGUUCCGCACCCCGUCUGGCCGCUCCAGGUUAUAUUGCGAGAUCAUCCCACAUAUCGUUAUCUUGCCGCCGAUACGCAUGUUCGGCAGCACGGCGUCCAACAUUGCACCACCCACGUUAUCAAAGUAGAUGUCGAUGCCGUCCGGGAAGCACCUGUUAAGGGCUCCCUCCAGGUCCAGCUCCUUCUUGUAGUUGAACGCGUCAUGAAAGCCAAACUUAGUUUUGAGCAGCUUGACCUUCUCAUCAGAACCAGCACUGCCAACCACAUAGCAGCCUGUGAUCUUAGCCAGUUGCCCAACAAUCUGACCUACGGCACCGGAUGCCGCGGAGACGAAAACAUAGUCGCCUUUCUUAGGCUUGGAGACCUCAAAGAACCCACCAUAGGCAGUAAGCCCAGCUAUUCC
Molecule: small RNA, 612 nt
Filed under: Oryza sativa Japonica Group (Japanese rice)
Lineage: Eukaryota; Viridiplantae; Streptophyta; Magnoliopsida; Poales; Poaceae
Description: sRNA Os12g0226066
Source: RNAcentral